UAAGUGAAUAGUGAAAUCUUGUGGCUCAACCAUAAGGCUAUUAUUCAAACUGGCAGACUCGAGAAUGAGAGAGGUCACUGGAAUUCCCUGUGUAGGAGUGAAAUCCGUAGAUAUAGGGAGGAACACCAAUGGCGUAGGCAGGUGACUGGCUCAUUUCUGACACUGAGCACGAAGCGUGGGAGCGAACGGGAUUAGGUACCCCGGUAGUCCACGCCGUAAACGAUGGAUGCUA
RNAcentral lists this ribosomal RNA (232 nucleotides) under uncultured Candidatus Saccharibacteria bacterium. RNAcentral describes it as "partial 16S ribosomal RNA". It matches the Rfam family "Bacterial small subunit ribosomal RNA", at positions 584 to 818 of the family's 1533-position model. Lineage: Bacteria; Candidatus Saccharimonadota. The record is from RNAcentral.